UAUAUUCAUACAAGUCGCAAGCUAAUUUAUGCCUCCACAUAUCAAUCCAAGACUGAUUUAUUAUAUCAACAUUGCGAUCGAUGCUCAAAAACUCUAUGUACUUUUUUGCAAAUAAGCCACACUCGCCCCUACAACCGAAGAAGAAUAUAUUAGUUCGAUAACAUAUAACUGAAAAUUAAAUUUUAAAAUUAAAAAGUUUUAAAUCCUUACGAUCUUUCUUGUCUUGCCGUCGUCAUGUUCCGCACAAUGGCUAAUCUGUCAUUUACUCGAAUCAUCGCAUGACUAGCCACCAUGGGCACGAUCAUAGCCAUUGGCUCCAGUAUUUGCUCCAGUUGACUUUAUAUCAGACAGCUAUGAUCAGAGUCGUACACAUACUUAGUGAAAUCAUCAAAUACGAUCUCCACUGAAAAACAGUGUGAGUUCGCGAUCACUAGAAUGUACAUAUGUGCACAAUCCGUCCACGGCUUUCCGCACCUCAGCUGUAGCCCAAUCACCCACUCCCGCAUGUACUCAGACAAAACAUAUUCAUUCCCCUUGCUUAGGAGCUCGUGAUAGUCAAUAUCUACGACACGAACAAACUCAGAGCUCAGGAUAACUCGAUUAGGACUGUCAUAAAAUCUCGGGUAUCUCCGAGCCCGAUCGCGUAACAAUUCCAUAACCAAGUCGAUAUACUGAAACAACAAAACACCAACAAAAAAGAUAGAGUCGUUUAAGUAAAUGAACCAACAACUUCUAUAAACAAAAUAAAUGGAAACUCAAAAAACAUACAUCAUCGGCGAGCCAAGCUGAGGUCGUCAGUACAUCUUCGAACCACUUUUUAGCAUUGGGCACGGUCAUACAGCCGAUGGUAUAGCUAUCUCUGAAAAAUGAA
This 871-nucleotide long non-coding RNA is filed under the name Olea europaea subsp. europaea. The record is from RNAcentral. Lineage: Eukaryota; Viridiplantae; Streptophyta; Magnoliopsida; Lamiales; Oleaceae.